AUGGAGGGCCAGAGUUUCACUAUUCAUUUUGUCAUGCAUGCUCAAAACAAAACCAAAAGAUAUCAUCGGAUUGUAGCACUGCAGGAGAUCUUGCAGCUUCCGCUCAUCGGCGAUCUUAAUGGAGUGGCUACACAAAAUAUCCAGAUAAACAUGAAGAGUCUAUUCUCCAAUUUCAGUUUUUUUGAAGAACCAAGAAUGGCAAGUACAACUCAACUUCGAAUUUUUUCUUUGUUACGAAUGCAAAACAUAAAAUCAUCUGAGGAGGGAAUUUCUAGACAAGGUACAACCUAUAGGUAUAAGCCUUUCAAAAAAGUUAUCAUGCCAGUAUAA
Molecule: ribosomal RNA, 330 nt
Filed under: Triticum aestivum (bread wheat)
Lineage: Eukaryota; Viridiplantae; Streptophyta; Magnoliopsida; Poales; Poaceae
Description: partial small subunit ribosomal RNA
Source: RNAcentral